Non-coding RNA from Trichonephila inaurata madagascariensis, 78 nucleotides. Lineage: Eukaryota; Metazoa; Arthropoda; Arachnida; Araneae; Nephilidae. The record is from the annotation of a GenBank genome assembly.
UCCCCACAGUAUGGCGCAAUUGGUUAGCGCGCGGUACUUAUAAUGCCGAGGUUGUGAGUUCGAUCCUCACCUGGGGAA